Molecule: ribosomal RNA, 457 nt
Filed under: uncultured bacterium
Lineage: Bacteria
Description: bacterial SSU rRNA
Rfam family: Bacterial small subunit ribosomal RNA
Source: RNAcentral
GAUUCUGGCUCAGAACGAACGCUGGCGGCAUGCCUAACACAUGCAAGUCGAACGAGACCUUCGGGUCUAGUGGCGCACGGGUGCGUAACGCGUGGGAAUCUGCCCUUGGGUUCGGAAUAACAGUGAGAAAUUACUGCUAAUACCGGAUGAUGUCUUCGGACCAAAGAUUUAUCGCCCAGGGAUGAGCCCGCGUAGGAUUAGCUAGUUGGUGGGGUAAUGGCCUACCAAGGCGACGAUCCUUAGCUGGUCUGAGAGGAUGAUCAGCCACACUGGGACUGAGACACGGCCCAGACUCCUACGGGAGGCAGCAGUGGGGAAUAUUGGACAAUGGGCGAAAGCCUGAUCCAGCAAUGCCGCGUGAGUGAUGAAGGCCUUAGGGUUGUAAAGCUCUUUUACCAGGGAUGAUAAUGACAGUACCUGGAGAAUAAGCUCCGGCUAACUCCGUGCCAGCAGCUGC